GCACAAGCGGUGGAGCAUGUGGUUAAUUCGAAGCAACGCGAAGAACCUUACCAGGUCUUGACAUCCCGAUGCUAUUUCUAGAGAUAGAAAGUUACUUCGGUACAUCGGUGACAGGUGGUGCAUGGUUGUCGUCAGCUCGUGUCGUGAGAUGUUGGGUUAAGUCCCGCAACGAGCGCGACCCCUAUUGUUAGUUGCCAUCAUUCAGUUGGGCACUCUAGCGAGACUGCCGGUAAUAAACCGGAGGAAGGUGGGGAUGACGUCAAAUCAUCAUGCCCCUUAUGACCUGGGCUACACACGUGCUACAAUGGUUGGUACAACGAGUUGCGAGUCGGUGACGGCGAGCUAAUCUCUUAAAGCCAAUCUCAGUUCGGAUUGUAGGCUGCAACUCGCCUACAUGAAGUCGGAAUCGCCAGUAAUCGCGGAUCAGCACGCCGCGGUGAAUACGUUCCCGGGCCUU
This 457-nucleotide ribosomal RNA is filed under the name uncultured Streptococcus sp. RNAcentral describes it as "bacterial SSU rRNA". It matches the Rfam family "Bacterial small subunit ribosomal RNA", at positions 923 to 1382 of the family's 1533-position model. The record is from RNAcentral. Lineage: Bacteria; Bacillati; Bacillota; Bacilli; Lactobacillales; Streptococcaceae.